AUGAGUUUUUUGCAUCAAUUGAUGCUAAUUAAAUAGGCCCGUGUCCGUUUUUUACGAAAUUAGUAGCACCAUUGCUGUCUAGCAGUCAGUCCCGAAAAAUGGUGCGAAAUAAUUGGGGGAAUAGGUGCAACCCGCAUCAGUGGGGCAUAUUAUCCCGUAGUAAUUUACAUCCCAUUUUGCAAUCAGUGAACCUCGAAAAAGUAUCAAUAUUCUGUAUCAAUUUUCCUCAUUUCUGCUGCACCAAUAGUGCAAUUGUUUCUAAUAUAUCUGGUUCUUUCCAUUAGUGAAACUCGAAAAAGUGUCAAUAUUCUGUAUCACUUUUCCCCAUUUCUGCUGCACCAAUAGUGCAAUUGUUUCUAAUAUAUCUGGUUCUUUCCAUUAGUGAACCUCGAAAAAGUGUCAAUAUUCUGUAUCAAUUUUCCCCAUUUCUGCUGCACCAAUAGUGCAAUUGUUUCUAAUAUAUCUAGUUUAUUCGCUUCUUCGGUACGAUUGGUGAUCGUCAUACGUACAUUUAACUUCAAAUUACUUGCAUGAUUCUACACAACACCAACUGGGUUUCGGCUCUCUAUAAGCCCAAGACAGGUCGCUACUCCCGUUCAUCAGGUAACCAACCAGGUUACGACCCAGUGCGAUUUCUAUUUCUCUUACAUCGCAUCUGGGCCCUGGUAAUGUCAACAUUACCAGACCAUUUGAAAUGAUAAUUUUAUUUCUAUUUAGACUCUUUCAUCUAUUUCAAUGUUUGUUUGAUCUGGUGAAUAACGUGAUCAUAGCUACAGUACAUAAGUUUUAGAAUGUUUCUCCAUGACAUUUUUUUUUGCUCCCAUGUAUGUAUAUGCACAUAUUGACUAAGAUUAUCAAAAUUAUGUACCAACUUAUUUUUUAUUCUUAUUGUUUAGUCUGUCAUUUAAGUAUGACAGGGCGAGCUACUUCUACCGCUACAACGGUUUAUUACAGGGUUCCUAUGUGUGAUAAGGGCCAACAUCACACAAAUUCAUGUGAUUUUUGUCAUAAAAGUCUUUGAAACAAUAUGAGUUUUGACACCAGCUACAUUUUAUAAAAAAGAGGCCUUCACAAGAAGGUAACACGCACUGUAUACCAGAAUAUGUAAAGCAGACUGAUUUUACAUUAGCGAAUGUUGGCUUCUCAUCCUCGAUCCAUAGCCCACUUGAAUACCAACAAUACUUUAUCAUCGGUAUAAAUGAUGGUGCACUUAAAAGAAAGUGAGCAAGUGCGAUCAACUUUAAAAUAAAUAGUUUAGCUUGAACUUCAUUCUUGUGGCAUAGUGCAUUGUAGUGAUAAAAUUGUUUCGAUAAGUAUUUUAAUUCUCGGUGAAAAUAGGUGUCCAAUGGCUGAGCAACAUCAGUACAAUUCUCUGGAACGAAUUUCACUGUGAGUGCCGGCCAUCCAUCAUCGGGAUUAAAUUUCGACUCAUACAUUUGAAGAAAUGUAGCAACUAAAGGCCUGCUUAAUUUGCCGGACUUGCUAGCGGUGACAAACAGGUUUGGAGCAGAAAACAGUGUCUUCUUGACUACUGGUCCAAUGGUGCCACUUGCCUCCUAGAGACAAGUUAGGGAUUUUGAAACAUUCGGUGUGAAAAUUUAAUUAGUUAAAUUUACCUGUAAGCAUACAAAUACUUUUGGUAGAAUUCUUCCUGCGUAGGUAAUAGUAUACUGUACUGUAUACGAGUGGGUCACCUUAUUCUUUGGGGAUAUCGCCGAACCGAACGUUGACCUCUCGCCUUUCCAAGACAACGUCCUAUUCGACACAAUCUCGUAUUUGAAACCAGUUUGGUCCGUGUUCCAAACUAACGUCGGGUCAUGAACAGAAAUUAGUGGUUGCAUUUCAUUCCUGAACUCUUCAGCCAUGAGACCUAUUUGUUCCAUAUCACGAAUGGAAGACCUGUUCACUAGUUUUUGGAUUCUUCUUGAAGAAAUCCGGUUUCUACUUCUAAAUCGAGCAAUCCAACUAUCUGACGCCUUGAAUUUGAAACCUGGAUAUUCAUUAGCCUUCGAUACUGCCCAGCGCCGCAGAUCCAUACUGUGGACCGAUCGGAAUUCUUGGCGAGCCUCGCGAAAGAGUUGUAGGACAUGAUGCUCAAUUUCCAUAUAAAUAUCGAAGUUUGUUCCGCCUUAAACAAAAUAUCCUAGGUAAAUCAAUUGAAAAAAGUUACGAAAUAAAAAAACUCAUCUCAAAGUUUACCCAUGCGUAUUUGACUUUUCCAUCUUUGCAAAUAAUUACGAUGUUUGACCUUCUUAAAUUUGUUCUGGAAUGUUAAGAAUUUCCACGCCGGAUUGCUUUCAAAUGCAUUUAUGGCUCUUUUCUUGUAUUCCAUAUCCACUUUGUCUCGUUUAAUUGGCUCUCCUUCUUCAUCCUCGUAGUCAUUUAGCGC
Long non-coding RNA from Folsomia candida, 2389 nucleotides. RefSeq lists it as uncharacterized. The record is from RefSeq and is a predicted model, not a curated record. The transcript is spliced from 3 exons. NCBI's taxonomy places the organism in Eukaryota, Metazoa, Arthropoda, Collembola, Entomobryomorpha, Isotomidae.